UGUGUGUUAGUGGAAGCGUCUGGAAAGGCGCGCGAUACAGGGUGACAGCCCCGUACACAAAAAUGCACAUGCUGUGAGCUCGAUGAGUAGGGCGGGACACGUGGUAUCCUGUCUGAAUAUGGGGGGACCAUCCUCCAAGGCUAAAUACUCCUGACUGACCGAUAGUGAACCAGUACCGUGAGGGAAAGGCGAAAAGAACCCCGGCGAGGGGAGUGAAAAAGAACCUGAAACCGUGUACGUACAAGCAGUGGGAGCACAGAGCAAUCUGUGUGACUGCGUACCUUUUGUAUAAUGGGUCAGCGACUUAUAUUCUGUAGCAAGGUUAACCGAAUAGGGGAGCCGAAGGGAAACCGAGUCUUAACUGGGCGUUAAGUUGCAGGGUAUAGACCCGAAACCCGGUGAUCUAGCCAUGGGCAGGUUGAAGGUUGGGUAACACUAACUGGAGGACCGAACCGACUAAUGUUGAAAAAUUAGCGGAUGACUUGUGGCUGGGGGUGAAAGGCCAAUCAAACCGGGAGAUAGCUGGUUCUCCCCGAAAGCUAUUUAGGUAGCGCCUCGUGAAUUCAUCUCCGGGGGUAGAGCACUGUUUCGGCAAGGGGGUCAUCCCGACUUACCAACCCGAUGCAAACUGCGAAUACCGGAGAAUGUUAUCACGGGAGACACACGGCGGGUGCUAACGUCCGUCGUGAAGAGGGAAACAACCCAGACCGCCAGCUAAGGUCCCAAAGUCAUGGUUAAGUGGGAAACGAUGUGGGAAGGCCCAGACAGCCAGGAUGUUGGCUUAGAAGCAGCCAUCAUUUAAAGAAAGCGUAAUAGCUCACUGGUCGAGUCGGCCUGCGCGGAAGAUGUAACGGGGCUAAACCAUGCACCGAAGCUGCGGCAGCGACGCUUAUGCGUUGUUGGGUAGGGGAGCGUUCUGUAAGCCUGUGAAGGUGUACUGUGAGGUAUGCUGGAGGUAUCAGAAGUGCGAAUGCUGACAUAAGUAACGAUAAAGCGGGUGAAAAGCCCGCUCGCCGGAAGACCAAGGGUUCCUGUCCAACGUUAAUCGGGGCAGGGUGAGUCGACCCCUAAGGCGAGGCCGAAAGGCGUAGUCGAUGGGAAACAGGUUAAUAUUCCUGUACUUGGUGUUACUGCGAAGGGGGGACGGAGAAGGCUAUGUUGGCCGGGCGACGGUUGUCCCGGUUUAAGCGUGUAGGCUGGUUUUCCAGGCAAAUCCGGAAAAUCAAGGCUGAGGCGUGAUGACGAGGCACUACGGUGCUGAAGCAACAAAUGCCCUGCUUCCAGGAAAAGCCUCUAAGCAUCAGGUAACAUCAAAUCGUACCCCAAACCGACACAGGUGGUCAGGUAGAGAAUACCAAGGCGCUUGAGAGAACUCGGGUGAAGGAACUAGGCAAAAUGGUGCCGUAACUUCGGGAGAAGGCACGCUGAUAUGUAGGUGAAGUCCCUCGCGGAUGGAGCUGAAAUCAGUCGAAGAUACCAGCUGGCUGCAACUGUUUAUUAAAAACACAGCACUGUGCAAACACGAAAGUGGACGUAUACGGUGUGACGCCUGCCCGGUGCCGGAAGGUUAAUUGAUGGGGUCAGCGCAAGCGAAGCUCUUGAUCGAAGCCCCGGUAAACGGCGGCCGUAACUAUAACGGUCCUAAGGUAGCGAAAUUCCUUGUCGGGUAAGUUCCGACCUGCACGAAUGGCGUAAUGAUGGCCAGGCUGUCUCCACCCGAGACUCAGUGAAAUUGAACUCGCUGUGAAGAUGCAGUGUACCCGCGGCAAGACGGAAAGACCCCGUGAACCUUUACUAUAGCUUGACACUGAACAUUGAGCCUUGAUG
RNAcentral lists this ribosomal RNA (1827 nucleotides) under Escherichia coli. RNAcentral describes it as "partial 23S ribosomal RNA". It matches the Rfam family "Bacterial large subunit ribosomal RNA", at positions 323 to 2136 of the family's 2925-position model. Lineage: Bacteria; Pseudomonadati; Pseudomonadota; Gammaproteobacteria; Enterobacterales; Enterobacteriaceae. The record is from RNAcentral.